This 600-nucleotide ribosomal RNA is filed under the name uncultured marine crenarchaeote. RNAcentral describes it as "bacterial SSU rRNA". It matches the Rfam family "Archaeal small subunit ribosomal RNA", at positions 880 to 1478 of the family's 1478-position model. The record is from RNAcentral. Lineage: Archaea; Thermoproteati; Thermoproteota.
CACAAGGGGUGAAGCCUGCGGUUCAAUUGGAGUCAACGCCAGAAAUCUUACCCGGAGAGACAGCAGAAUGAAGGUCAAGCUGAAGACUUUACCAGACAAGCUGAGAGGUGGUGCAUGGCCGUCGCCAGCUCGUGCCGUGAGAUGUCCUGUUAAGUCAGGUAACGAGCGAGAUCCCUGCCUCUAGUUGCCACCAUUACUCUCAGGAGUAGUGGGGCGAAUUAGCGGGACCGCCGCAGUUAAUGCGGAGGAAGGAAGGGGCCACGGCAGGUCAGUAUGCCCCGAAACUCUGGGGCCACACGCGGGCUGCAAUGGUAACGACAAUUGGUUUCGAAUCCGAAAGGAUGAGGUAAUCCUCAAACGUUACCACAGUUAUGACUGAGGGCUGCAACUCGCCCUCACGAAUAUGGAAUCCCUAGUAACUGCGUGUCAUUAUCGCGCGGUGAAUACGUCCCUGCUCCUUGCACACACCGCCCGUCGUUUCAUUGAAGUGAGCUCUUAGCGAGGUGACGUCUAAUUGGCGUUAUCGAACUUGAGGUUCGUGACAAGGGAAAAGUCGUAACAAGGUGACCGUAGGGGAACCUGCGGUCGGAUCACCUCCUU